UGGGGAAUUUUGCACAAUGGGGGAAACCCCGAUGCAGCGACGCCGCGUGAUUUAGAAGGCCUUCGGGUUGUAAAAAUCUUUUCUAUGGGAAGAAAAUGACAGUACCAUAGGAAUAAGGACCGGCUAAUUACGUGCCAGCAGCCGCGGUAAUACGUAAGGUCCGAGCGUUGUCCGGAAUCAUUGGGCGUAAAGGGUACGUAGGCGGGUAAGCAAGUUAGAAGUGAAAUCCUAUAGCUCAACUAUAGUAAGCUUUUAAAACUGCUCAUCUUGAGGUAUGGAAGGGAAAGUGGAAUUCCUAGUGUAGCGGUGAAAUGCGCAGAUAUUAGGAGGAAUACCGGUGGCGAAGGCGACUUUCUGGCCAUAACCUGACGCUGAGGUACGAAAGCGUGGGUAGCAAACAGG
RNAcentral lists this ribosomal RNA (402 nucleotides) under bacterium. RNAcentral describes it as "partial 16S ribosomal RNA". It matches the Rfam family "Bacterial small subunit ribosomal RNA", at positions 355 to 776 of the family's 1533-position model. The record is from RNAcentral.